This 2954-nucleotide ribosomal RNA is filed under the name groundwater metagenome. RNAcentral's name for it is "bacterial LSU rRNA". It matches the Rfam family "Bacterial large subunit ribosomal RNA". The record is from RNAcentral.
CAAAGGGCAUACGGUGGAUACCUUGGCACCAGCAGCCGAUGAAGGACGUAGUAAGCUACGAAAAACUGCGGUGAGCUGCUAACGAGCUACGACCCGCAGGUGUCCGAAUGGGGAAACCCUCCUCCAUGCAAAUGGAGGAAUCUCUAACUGAAUCAAUAGGUUAGUGAAGGUAAUUCAGUGAAUUGAAACAUCUUAGUAACUGGAAGAAAAGAAAACAAAUCAGUGAUUCCCAAAGUAGCGGCGAGUGAAAUGGGAACAGCCUAAACCAAUUAGCAUGCUAAUUGGGGUUGUAGGACUGCAUUUAGUACUUGCAAAGUUAGUUGAACAAAGUUGGAAAGCUUGACCACAGAAGGUGAUAGUCCUGUAAACAACAACUAAGCAAGACGAGCAGUAUCCUGAGUAAAUCGGGGCACGUGAAACCCUGAUUGAAGCUACCAGGACCAUCUUGGUAAGGCUAAAUACUGACUGGUGACCGAUAGCGUACAAGUACAGCGAUGGAAAGGUGAAAAGAACCCCGGGAGGGGAGUGAAACAGAACAUGAAACCGUAUGCUUACAAGCAGUUAGAGCUAUUAUGUGCUUGCAUAUAGUAGUGAUAGCGUGCCUGUUGAAGAAUGAGCCGGCGAGUUAGUGUGUCUAGUUUGGUUAAGGAGUAAUAUCCGGAGCCACAGCGAAAGCGAGUCUGAACAGGGCGAUUUUAUUAGACAUAUUAGACCCGAACCUUGGUGAUCUAACCAUGACCAGGUUGAAGCGCAAGUAACAUUGCGUGGAGGACCGAACCAAUUAGUGUUGAAAAACUACUGGAUGAGUUGUGGUUAGGGGUGAAAUGCCAAUCGAACCAAGAGCUAGCUGGUUCUCCCCGAAAUGUAUUGAGGUACAGGGUCAACUUAAAGCUUUGUGGAGGUAGAGCACUAGUUCGGUAAGGGUGGUGAAUAACCAUACCGAAUCGAGUUAAACUCCGAAUGCCAUUAAAGUGAUAGUUGGCACUGAGACAGUGAGAGAUAAGUUCCAUUGUCAAGAGGGAAACAGCCCAGACCACCAUCUAAGGUCCCCAAGUUAAUGCUAAGUGACAAAGGAGGUGGAGUUACUUAGACAGCCAGGAGGUUGGCUUAGAAGCAGCCACCCUUUAAAGAGUGCGUAACAGCUCACUGGUCAAGUGAUUCUGCGCCGAAAAUGUCCGGGGCUAAAGCAUUACACCGAAGUUGUGGGUUUAUUACAUUUUGUAUUAAGCGGUAGGGGAGCGUUGUAUAGUAGGCUGAAGCCAGGUUGUAAAGCCUGGUGGACAAAAUACAAGUGAGAAUGUCGGCUUGAGUAGCGAAAAGGAAAGUGAGAAUCUUUCCCACCGAAAGCCUGAGGGUUCCCACGGAAGGUUCGUCCGCGUGGGGUUAGUCGGGACCUAAGCUGAGGCUGAAAAGCGUAGGCGAUGGACAGCAGGUUGAUAUUCCUGCACUACUAGGUAAUCGUUAUAGGUAUAUUGAGAAGUAGAAGGUUAGGUUGUGGCGGUUAAUGGAUUCCGCUCCACGCAUGUAGGUAGUCACUCUAGGCAAAUCCGGAGUGGCGUUAUGACCUGAGAUGUUAUGGUGAUUGUCUAAGGACAAGAAGCAAUCGAUACCACGCUAACAAGAAAAACAGUGUACUAAGAUUAUUUGGUACCCGUACCAGAAACCGACACAGGUAGGCUGGUAGAACAUACUAAGGUGCGCGAGAUAACUCUCUCUAAGGAACUCGGCAAAAUGCUCUCGUAAGUUCGCAAGAAGAGAGACUGUACUUUGUAAGAGGAGUUAACUUCCUUGAGCAUCGUACAGUGGCACAGAGCAGAUCCCUACGACUGUUUAACAAAAACACAGGUCUCUGCUAACACGCAAGUGGAUGUAUAGGGGCUGACGCCUGCCCAGUGCUGGAAGGUCACGGAAGUUGGUUAGGAGCAAUCCAAAGCUAGCGACCCAAGCCCCAGUGAACGGCGGCCGUAACUAUAACGGUCCUAAGGUAGCGAAAUUCCUUGUCGGGUAAGUUCCGACCCGCACGAAUGGCGUAACGAUAGGGGUACUGUCUCGGAGAGGGACUCGGCGAAAUAGAAUUAUCUGUGAAGAUGCGGAUUUGGUGUGCCUGGACAGAAAGACCCUAUUGAGCUUUACUGUAGGCUGGAAUUGGCCGCGGGCGUUGGAUACGUAGCAUAGUUGGGAGACUUUGAAACCUUGCUUUUGGGUGAGGUGGAGUCAACAGUGAAAUACCAAUUUUCUUACACCUGCGUUCUAACCGAGUACCGUUAUCCGGUACCGGGAAAGUUCCUGUCGGGCAGUUUGACUGGGGCGGUCACCUCCUAAAAAGUAACGGAGGUGCGCAAUGGUUCCCUCAGGUUGGUCGGAAAUCAACCGAUGAGUGCAAAAGCAUAAGGGAGCUUGACAGCGAGACAGACAUGUCGAGCUGGUACGAAAGUAGGCUUUAGUGAUCCGGUGGUUCCGCAUGGAAGGGCCAUCGCUCAACGGAUAAAAGUUACCAUAGGGAUAACAGGCUGAUCUCGCCCAAGAGUCCACAUCGACGGCGAGGUUUGGCACCUCGAUGUCGGCUCGUCGCAUCCUGGGGCGGUAGUACGUCCCAAGGGUUGGGCUGUUCGCCCAUUAAAGCGGCACGUGAGCUGGGUUCAGAACGUCGUGAGACAGUUCGGUCCAUAUCCGGCAUACCCGCAAGAUACUUGAGAGGAGACUUCCUUAGUACGAGAGGACCGGGAAGUACAGACCUCUGGUGUACCAGUUGUCACGCCAGUGGCAAACACUGGGUAGCCAUGUCUGGAGGGGAUAAGUGCUGAAAGCAUAUAAGUACGAAGCCCACCUCAAGAUAAGGUAUCUCAUACCAUAAGGUAGUAAGAUCUGCGAAAGACUAUCGCGUUGAUAGGCGGCAGGUGUAAGUGUAGCAAUACAUUCAGCCGAGCCGUACUAAUAGAUCGAGGGCUUGUUUU